ACAGGCAACCAGACUCGUGUCUGUGCGCGGAGCUCGGUUGGUGCCCUUGAGCGUCUUGUACGUAAAACAAGACGAAGCGGUCGUGAGAGUGGCCCUGUGGAGGGAGGCCACCUUGACCCCGAUCAAGGUCGGGGCCUCCUACACAUUCACGCACCUUAGUGCCGUGACGAACGACUUCGGCCUGUCCCUGAAUACGACACAGCAUUCAAAGAUAUCGGGCUACAAUACAACUAGGAAGUUGGUGGCUAUUGGGGUCAUGAUGGAGUAGGACGACGAGGUCAAGUUGGUGGAUGUGGAGGGGGUUGAGACCACAAUUUCGAUGGCAGUGUGGAC
Long non-coding RNA from Syngnathus typhle (broad-nosed pipefish), 333 nucleotides. RefSeq lists it as uncharacterized. The transcript is spliced from 3 exons. NCBI's taxonomy places the organism in Eukaryota, Metazoa, Chordata, Actinopteri, Syngnathiformes, Syngnathidae. The record is from RefSeq and is a predicted model, not a curated record.